This 253-nucleotide ribosomal RNA is filed under the name uncultured bacterium. RNAcentral describes it as "partial 16S ribosomal RNA". It matches the Rfam family "Bacterial small subunit ribosomal RNA", at positions 524 to 776 of the family's 1533-position model. The record is from RNAcentral.
GACGUAGGGCGCGAGCGUUGUCCGGAUUUAUUGGGCGUAAAGAGCUCGUAGGCGGCUUGUCGCGUCGUUCGUGAAAACUUGGGGCUCAACCCCGAACUUGCAGUGGGUACGGGCAGACUAGAGUGUGGUAGGGGAGACUGGAAUUCCUGGUGUAGCGGUGAAAUGCGCAGAUAUCAGGAGGAACACCGAUGGCGAAGGCAGGUCUCUGGGCCAUAACUGACGCUGAGAAGCGAAAGCAUGGGGAGCGAACAGG